RNAcentral lists this ribosomal RNA (466 nucleotides) under uncultured bacterium. RNAcentral describes it as "partial 16S ribosomal RNA". It matches the Rfam family "Bacterial small subunit ribosomal RNA", at positions 28 to 507 of the family's 1533-position model. The record is from RNAcentral.
GACGAACGCUGGCGGCGUGCUUAACAAAUGCAAGUCGAACGGCAAGGCCCUGCUUGCUGGGUACCCGAGUAGCGCACGGGUGCGUAACAGGUGGGUGAUCCGCCCUACACUUCGGGGUAAGCUUGGCAAACUGGGUGUAGAACGGAAGGGGACCGGUCUCUAGCGAGCUGCUGGAAAGGUUUUUUCGGCGUAGGCCCAGCUCGCGGCCAAUCAGCCCGUUGGUGGGGUAUUGGCGCACCAAGGCGGCGCCCGACAGCCGCCCUGGGAGGGGGUACGGCCACAUUGUGACCGAGAUGCGGACCAGACUCCUAAGGGAGGCAGAAGAGGGGAAUAUUGCACCAUGGGCGUACGCCUGAUGCGCCGACGCCGCGUGGGGGAGGAAGGGGUUCGUGGUGUAAACUCCUUUCGCUAGGGACGAGGCUGCGUUGUGAGGGUACCUAGAUAAGAAGCAUCGGCUAACUACGUG